This 483-nucleotide ribosomal RNA is filed under the name uncultured bacterium. RNAcentral describes it as "partial 16S ribosomal RNA". It matches the Rfam family "Bacterial small subunit ribosomal RNA", at positions 30 to 506 of the family's 1533-position model. The record is from RNAcentral.
AUUGAACGCUGGCGGCAGGCCUAACACAUGCAAGUCGAGCGGAUGAAGGGAGCUUGCUCCUGGAUUCAGCGGCGGACGGGUGAGUAAUGCCUAGGAAUCUGCCUGGUAGUGGGGGAUAACGUCCGGAAACGGGCGCUAAUACCGCAUACGUCCUGAGGGAGAAAGUGGGGGAUCUUCGGACCUCACACUAUCAGAUGAGCCUAGGUCGGAUUAGCUAGUUGGUGGGGUAAAGGCCUACCAAGGCGACGAUCCGUAACUGGUCUGAGAGGAUGAUCAGUCACACUGGAACUGAGACACGGUCCAGACUCCUACGGGAGGCAGCAGUGGGGAAUAUUGGACAAUGGGCGAAAGCCUGAUCCAGCCAUGCCGCGUGUGUGAAGUAGGUCUUCGGAUUGUAAAGCACUUUAAGUUGGGAGGAAGGGCAGUAAGUUAAUACCUUGCUGUUUUGACGUUACCAACAGAAUAAGCACCGGCUAACUUCGU